GAAUAAUCGUGCCAUCCCAAAUGAUCUAUUUUUGCGUACAAUCUGAGCAUCAAUUAGGCAGAAUUUACCGUAUCGUCCGACCCGUUCCCGUUCCACCGGAGGCUGGCAAGCAAAGCGUUUCGCUACUUACGUCUACCUCGUUCAAGAGUCUCUCCUUGUCGGGGGCCGGCAGGGCAGCGGACCAGUCGAUUAGGAUCAUCAGAACCGUGGCCAGGAACACGGCGACUCUUAGCGACGACAUGAUCUCUUCAAGUCUGCAACAAUCAUUUCCCAAGACUCUGUUACACAUCGUGCAAUCCACUCCAAUCGCGGACCCCAUCGAUCUCUUAUGCAGGAAGAACAAAUAACGAAGGUACAACGUGAUAUACCGUAGGAAAUCUCAGCGGGCGUCCGUUCGCUGUCGAGCUCGACUCCGGUUGCUAAUGAACGCCUGGACUGGCUGUAAUUAUACAAGAGGCUCGAUAAAGAUCCCGAGCUCCACGGAGCUAUCACGGCAGCUCCAAAAGCAGCCGUUUCAUAUCAGUUUAUAAAAGUAACAACAAUAAGACGUCUAUUCCGAUUUUUAACGAACGUCAUUGUAAUAUUCGCAACAAGCUCUUUUAAUGCGUUACUUGUAACACAUACGUCGAAUAACAGCAUAUACAUAUAUUGAAUAAAUAACUCGUAAAUGUA
Non-coding RNA from Megalopta genalis, 672 nucleotides. NCBI's taxonomy places the organism in Eukaryota, Metazoa, Arthropoda, Insecta, Hymenoptera, Halictidae. The record is from RefSeq and is a predicted model, not a curated record.